CCAACUCCCCGGGUGUGACACCCGGGAGUUUCUGAUAUCCUCCCUGCACUUCCUGAAAAUCUGCCGUCUAAUUUAAGUUUCCUAAGAUUCUGCAAAGCAGACAGAAACCCUGGUGACUCCAGCGAUACCACAACUCUUAGGGGAAGAUGAGUCAUGUAUGUGGCAGAAGCAGGAUCAGCCAGCACCUGACUGCAAGUUUCCGCCUCCAGACACUCUGCUGCCUCUCCUCCCUGGCUCAGGGUCAGCACUGAAAAUCAGCCCAAGGAAACGACCAGCUGCCUUCUGGCCCUUAUCAAGGGUGGUGUGAACCCGCGCUAGCUACCCAGGGGUCUGGCCCGGAAGCGGCAGGGGGAGGGCUUUUUAGUCCUGUGUCUAGUCCAGUGGUCACCUCUGCACGGACAGCAGAUGGAGAAGGGGGCUCGGGGAAGGAGGAAAAGGUCAGGCAACCUCUCCAGGAUUCCUGGAAUAAACAUUCCUCCUCCCAAGCUCUUCAUUCUGUUUCACAAUCAAAUCCAGAGUCUUAUAAGCAUUCAUGGAAACCAUGAAAGCAAACAACUUGGUAAACGGUAGACAGAAACAGUAAAUAGAAUCUUCCCUCUACUUCCUGUGUAUCCAGAAUGUUUAGAGACAGGGAGUGGGGACUGACGACAGAUUGCAGCAUCUGGGAUCUGGGGCUAUGGCAGGAACGAGGACAUGUGGAAGGCUGGGAGUUGCCUGGGUCUUGGGAGUCUGGGGUUGAAGGUUACUCCUUCAUGGUUUCAGGGAAAGAGUGAAGACCACUGGCAAGAAGCCUGGUAACCACACAGACACACCCUGCAGGAAGCAGUUGACACCAUCUCACACCCUGACCUGUCCCCCAUGUCCUCCUCUGUGGGAUGCACAGGACUUCCAGGGGCCACCAAAGAAGUUGGGUCUAACCGGGGCCCUCACAGUACAGUGGCGAGUGUAGUGCGGUGGUAAAGACCAUGGACUCCAGCCGGGCGCGGGGGCUCACGCCUGUAAUCCCCACACUCUGGAAGGCCAAGGUGUGCAGAUCGCUUGAGUCCAAAAGUUCAAGACCAGCCUGGGCACAUGGUGAAACCCCGUCUCUACAAAAAAUACAAGCAUUAGCCGGGCAUGGUGGCGCACUGUAAUCUUGUAAUCCCAGCUACUCGGGAGGCUGAAGUGGGAGGAUUUCUGAAGUCGCAGGUUUCAGUGAGCCAAGAUAGUGCCACUGUACUCCAGCCUGGGUGACAGAGUGAGACCCUGUCUAAAAAAAAAAAAAAAAAAUUAGCCAGGCAUGCUGGCGUGCACCUGUAAUUCCAGCUACUCCAGAGGCUGAGGCAGGAGAAUCACUUGAGCGUGGGAGGCAGAGAUUUCAGUAAGCCAUGAUUGUGCCCCUGCACUCCAGCCUGGGCAACAGAGCGAGACCCUGUCUAAAAAAAUAAAAAAUAAAAAAAGCCCAUGGACUUUUUAGUUCAGAGUUCAGUUCCUCCGUCCACCAGAUGCAUGACUCCAGGCAAAUCACUUCUUUCUCUACAUACUUCAGCUUCCUCGUCCGUUAAAGGGGAUGAGUGUGUAACUUCCUAGGAUGUUUUAAGAUUUACAUGAGUUCAUCUUUGCAAAGCUUUUUGCAUGGCAC
This 1621-nucleotide long non-coding RNA is filed under the name Homo sapiens (human). Its description in RNAcentral is "HSALNT0258883". The record is from RNAcentral. Lineage: Eukaryota; Metazoa; Chordata; Mammalia; Primates; Hominidae.